UCCAUCGCGAGGUGGAAUCUGAAAGAAGCGUGAUGAGCAAAGUUCCGGCCAGAGGAACACGAACCGUAUCACGGCCCGGUGCACCUGCCCGAUGGAGGCGGCGGCCAGCGGUUCGGGAUCAAACCCGCCGAAAAGCUC
This is a non-coding RNA of Desulfotomaculum sp. 46_296, 138 nucleotides long. NCBI's taxonomy places the organism in Bacteria, Bacillati, Bacillota, Clostridia, Eubacteriales, Desulfotomaculaceae. The record is from Rfam.